CCGGUGUAGGACAGAGACAGCUUUAU
Molecule: non-coding RNA, 26 nt
Filed under: Cricetulus griseus (Chinese hamster)
Lineage: Eukaryota; Metazoa; Chordata; Mammalia; Rodentia; Cricetidae
Source: RNAcentral